Molecule: long non-coding RNA, 3671 nt
Organism: Pteropus alecto (black flying fox)
Lineage: Eukaryota; Metazoa; Chordata; Mammalia; Chiroptera; Pteropodidae
Exons: 3
Source: RefSeq, a predicted model, not a curated record
UCCCUUCUGGGAAAAGCUUAUGGCUCAGCACCUAGGGGCUAAUGUGCAAUCGUCUUUCUGUAGGUGCCAGAGAACUGAGCUCUCUUCCUGAUGAACUGGUUUCCCUUCACCUUGGAAAGCUUGAGAAGCCUUGGAGGACUUCGUGGAGCCGGAAUGAUAAGAAAGUGAUGGGGUGGGCUGAAAUAGAGUAAGAGUUACAAGACACUUUACUUGAAAACACCCAAAGCAGUACUGACAGUGUCAACACCACUCUGACACAUAGCUUGAACUGGAGAACUAGGCCAGGUAGUUGUCUUUGGAAUGUUGGCAUUGGAAAUCUGGCAACGUCAUUAAUUCAAAGAGAACUCCAAUAUCUGGGGUGGGAUAUAACUGAGUUUGCACUCAAAUGCAAUAGCUUAUCUGCCUUGUGAACUUGAUCAAGUUCUUUAGUUUUGGAGCUUCAGUGUUUCCAACUGUGAAAUGGGAAUAUUAACAUGUACUUCAUGGGCUUUUUGUGGAGAUUGAGUGGGACAAUGCAUGUAAAGAGCAUGCAGAGUGACAGGCAUGUAGACAGCAUCUCUUAAUGGCUAUUUUAGAAUCUAGGAGGCCCUCGGAGGUCAUGAGGUGAGAAAGCUGGUUCAGGGAGUGAUGAAAUUAUCUACUAGCACAAGAUGAGAAAAAGAAAGAGGUGGGUACAGAAAUCUGGUCUCCCGACCCCCACCUAGGUCUCUUUCUGUCCUUCUCGCUGUCUCUCCAAUGAUGUCCACAGACACUGGGAGCUUGGGUAGAUUUUGGGUGCAUGAGGCUACUUUCUAUUUCCUCGAUGAUGACAGUUCUGAACAGCAGACUAACCUCUUCCAGGCCAUUCUGCCUUGUUUUGGUGGCUGUGUCUAAAGAGUGGCUCGAGCCCACCCAGAAAUAUGAGCACUGUCCUUACUUGUCUCUGCUGCUCUGGGUGAGAGAGCACGGUGGUCUGAGAAACAGAAAUGGAGAUGCUUUCUCAAAAGAACAUUUAAAAAUGAUACUUAUAAAAGCAAUACGUGUUCUCUGUAGAAAUGAAAAAAUCCAGAUAAAAUACAGAUACUAUAGUGAGAAGGAAAAAAAUCACCUGCCACCCUACCACCUGUAAGCAUGAGCUGCUGUGCUGUUUUCUUCGAGGCUCUUUUCUAUGCACAUGCACAUGCGUGCUUGUCCAGGUCCUCACUCACUACAGUAUAUAGUUGUGGUUAAAAGCACAGUCUGGUUUCACCACUUGGGCAAGUUAUUUAACUUUUCUACUAUUGUUUCCUCAUCUAUAAGCCAGGGCUUCAUAUAGUACCUUCCUCAGAGGGUGGUUAAGAGAAGUAAAUGAACUAAUCCAAGUAAAACACAGUGCCUAGCAUGCAGUAAACAUUGUAAGGGGUUUUCCUUUAGAAUUAUUGUUACGUGCAAUAGAAACCCGGGCUCAUAUGAUAUAUUUUGCUGGAUGUGCAGUUUUUAUGAAGCUGUUUCGUCUUUGCUCGCACUCAGCUGCUAGACUAUAAUGCUUUCUUAAACUGCUCACCCAGACAGGGUCUCAAGUUCAGGUUGAGCCCUGCCCUCCUCCUGGCUCAGCAUACCAGGGCUGAAAGGCGCUAAUCAUGUGUUCAUCUUCAAAAGGAUUUGACAGUAUUAACACACGAAUUCCUACAGCCUGACUCCUGUUAGGGUUUAUUAGACCCAUUUUACAGGAGGGAGAAUUAAGACUAAAUAGUAUUGAAGUGACAGCAUGGGGUCACCAAGCAGAUGAGGAGGACAUUCUGGCUGCCGAGAAAUAAACAGUGAAUGAAUAGCCAGAGAAGUGGCUGGGCUGCUCCUGAGCUUGGGAUUGGUCGAAUUUAGACUGGAGAGAGUCAGGCCUCCGUGGAGCAAGGAGUAAGGCUGAAAUCUGAAGACAAGUUAUCGGAAUCAAAUGUCUCAUGGAAAAUCUCUGACAGUCUUCUUGAUGUGUGCUUGUGUGUGUGCAAAUGUGUGUGUGCGUGUGUGUGUGGACGCGUAUUACCAUUUUGGUGUUCUUAAGCAUCCUUUUGUGGAAUUCAAACAUUCUGAGAUUGAAAAAUGAUAAUUUUAAGCCAGACCGGGCAAGGUAGGGUCAUAAAUCAGGAAAGAAGACCAGGGUCUGGCUUCGUGUAUGUGUAUGUGUGUAUAUAUAUGUGUGUACAUGUGAAAGGUGUGUACACAUACAUAUGUGGGUAUAUGUGUGUAUGCAUGUCCAUGUCCAUGUGUGUAAAGACUGUCAGAGCUUUUCCAUGCACAGUGAAGGCGCCAGCAUGCAGGCCUCUUGGGGUGAGCGGGAGGAGCAGAUGUGAGCCUGCGGAAGGGAACUGGUUUUGAUGAAAUAUUGGCUAACGCUCGGGGCACCGAAGGAGAGGAGGCUCUGGUCAGGGAACUGUACUGCAUUAGAAUUUAUAAUAGAUUAGCUUAUCUGCCCCUUGAUCUUCAAGGGUAUUUGGGGAGCUAAGGAUGAGGCAUUUCUGCCUUGAUUUUCACAGUGAGAGGAAACCUCUGGAACAGUAUUUCCAGCCUUUCCCUCUGCACAGCCCAAGGCGGUGAGAGUUUGCUAUUCACACCCCCACUCAGGUCAUUUGGAGGAGGCUGACAGUCAGUGCCCAGGAAUGCUGACAUGCUUCAAAACAGCACACAAGAAAGAACCCACUCAGAUUCCUAAGGGGAGCUGCUGUCGGUCCACCCCGAGUUGGAGUGUAAUAUUGGAUGCGAUUGCCACGGCUCCCCCUCCCGCAGCAGAAGCUCGAAAUCCAUAUUUAUCUGUCUGCUGGACUCCCCUCUCCCUGUUCAUCUGUCUGUCUGUCUGUCUGACUCUGUCUUCCUUGCUCUCUGAGGUAAAGGGUGCUCGCUCUCAUGAAAAGGGGAGAGUGCCAGGAUGUUCCAGAUGAGCUGCUGCCAGAGAUGUUGCUUUAAACGCCAAUGAGCUGAAGCAGCCGGGAAAGAAAGAGCGAGGGGUGAAGUGUGGUUUGAUGUCUGGGCGCACUGGGGAGAUGAUUCAUAUAACAUGAGCCCCUCAGGGUCCUUGAUUAAAUCCCAGCCUAGCUCCCCCAGCUGAACUGGAACUCUGAAGUCCAGCCAAGGAGUGUUACUGGUCCUGCCUCGGCAAACAAUUGCUUAUCUGAGGAAACCAGACUUCUUACUGAUGCUCAUCACCAUGCCCCUCAGAUAUUGGUAUUCAUGACCACGAGAAGCCACGGGAGCAUCUUUCUGGAAUGCUAAUUUGACUUCAAGAUUUCUUGGGGGAAGGUUAGCGGUUUUCCUCAAGAGUCUAAGAGCAGAAAUCCUUUAUAUUUAUGUAUAUUUAAGAAUGAAGGGCCAGAAAGUAAAGGAAAAACCCAUGCGUGUAGGUAGGACUGCUGAGUGGUGGACCUCACCAAAUUGUGAUCUGGCAGUUGAUUUUGACACCAACAAAGGUAGAUCUUUCUACUGGAGUCAUCAGUUUCUGCAAUCUCCCAUCUCUUCUAGUCGCCAGACUCAGGUGGGGGCAAACAAAGUGGGAAAGUGACUGAAAAGAGGGGUUUCAAAUUUUUACUUAAUCUUCUUAUUUUCUGUAUAGCAUCUCACUGCUCCUCUCUGCUUUACCUGCCUCUAAGUCCAGAGCCCUUCUGGAAUGAUCUAGCCACAAUGUAAACCUCUUUUCUUUUUCUUUUCUUUUAGUGGGCUAGAGA